ACAAGUCUAUCAUUACCACAAGUCUUGGUUCUCACAAAAUCUUCUCACUUCAAAACUGACACGCAACACAAGCAGCCAGUCUGGCAGGCAGGUGUGAAUAAGAACAGUGCUCACAAUGCUACAUCUGAGCACUUUUCAUAGCACAUUCAUGGUUUAAAAAGACACGUGAAAGUCUUUUGUACUUUUUAAGAUCAAACUCUUGAUACAUUUUAUCUGUGGAAAGUGGCUUUAACAGUCUUACAUUGCCUUCAGACUUGAAGGCCUAGUUUGUUUUUCCUGAUGUAGAAAUUCUGGUUAUAAAACUGCUGCAUCAAUGUACAGUAUCCUCUACAUUUAUGUCUGAGAAUAUACCGAAAAUGUGUAGAAUCUGGAUGACACAACAAAAACGAACUGUAUGAGCAGUUUAAAAAAUAUGAAUGUACAGAAUAUUGUUCAAAAUAUAUGUAUAAAAAACAGUUCCUGGAUCUCAAUUAAGAAACGUACAGUCAGUUAGCUAGUAUUGCUCUAUUAUUUAGCUUUAUUGACCAGCUGAAUUAUUGACCAGCUGUAUUAGUUCACUUAAUACAUGGCUACUUAUCAAAUAAAUGGAUGUAAAAUAUUGAUUUAACUAAUUCAUUAGUUUUAACUAGAUUUAGCUAAUUGAUUUAACUAGUUCACAAAGUGAUACAAAUAGUUUUUGGACACUUUGCAUAUCCGUGUCCAAUCUAGUGAGAGAUGUAUUGAUUUGUUAUUAUGCCCUCCACUUUGAUGUAUCACAGAAGCCUGUGAAUGCAUAUUCUAAAAAGAUUACAGUGACUACUGUGAAUCUUGCAUUCAUGUGAAAAUUAUUCAUUACACGCUCGGCGGCUGAAAACUUUAUGCGAGGAGACUCCAUCCUCUCUCCACACCAUCUGGCUGAGGCUUGUGAGGAAUAACUGCUGCAGAACUUCAAACAUGUCUGCCUGUCAGUCAGCCUGAGGACAAGGACGUCCUUAUAUCUCCAAGCCCUAUCUGACUUUCUGCAGACUUGAAAUUAUCAGAGGCGUUUGUGCACACAAACAAUAUUUUCAAAGCACAACUGCUAGAGUCCUGCACUGGACUACAAACAGAGACUGCCUAUUAGACAGCUUAAUUCAACCUCUGGCUAUAAUUAGUCGUGUCUGCUAAGCAUUGUGUACUAUUACUAUUUUCUUUUUUUUAGGGUUAGGAAUUUAAACAGACACCUAUCCUUGAGUAUUAUAAAACUUGUUU
RNAcentral lists this long non-coding RNA (1230 nucleotides) under Sinocyclocheilus grahami. Its description in RNAcentral is "lncRNA (ENSSGRG00000022541.1)". The record is from RNAcentral. Lineage: Eukaryota; Metazoa; Chordata; Actinopteri; Cypriniformes; Cyprinidae.